CGUACACUCCUGCGGGAGGCAGCAGUGGGGAAUAUUGCACAAUGGGCGCAAGCCUGAUGCAGCCAUGCCGCGUGUAUGAAGAAGGCCUUCGGGUUGUAAAGUACUUUCAGCGGGGAGGAAGGCGAUAAGGUUAAUAACCUUGUCGAUUGACGUUACCCGCAGAAGAAGCACCGGCUAACUCCGUGCCAGCAGCCGCGGUAAUACGGAGGGUGCAAGCGUUAAUCGGAAUUACUGGGCGUAAAGCGCACGCAGGCGGUCUGUCAAGUCGGAUGUGAAAUCCCCGGGCUCAACCUGGGAACUGCAUUCGAAACUGGCAGGCUAGAGUCUUGUAGAGGGGGGUAGAAUUCCAGGUGUAGCGGUGAAAUGCGUAGAGAUCUGGAGGAAUACCGGUGGCGAAGGCGGCCCCCUGGACAAAGACUGACGCUCAGGUGCGAAAGCGUGGGGAGCAAACAGGAUUAGAUACCCCAGUAGUCCCAUGAU
Molecule: ribosomal RNA, 480 nt
Filed under: uncultured organism
Description: partial 16S ribosomal RNA
Rfam family: Bacterial small subunit ribosomal RNA
Source: RNAcentral